CCCCUCUAAGGGUCGCACCUGGAGAGUUUCCGGGACUCUACCAGUCUCGGUUACGGGAGGGAGAGUCAACCUGAGGCCUACCCACUCCAUUCCUAGCUUGCUCAGUGGCUAGCGAGGGGAAGGCCAUCGGCUACAAGU
Non-coding RNA from Ornithorhynchus anatinus (platypus), 138 nucleotides. The record is from Rfam. Lineage: Eukaryota; Metazoa; Chordata; Mammalia; Monotremata; Ornithorhynchidae.